RNAcentral lists this ribosomal RNA (478 nucleotides) under uncultured bacterium. RNAcentral's name for it is "partial 16S ribosomal RNA". It matches the Rfam family "Bacterial small subunit ribosomal RNA", at positions 28 to 523 of the family's 1533-position model. The record is from RNAcentral.
GACGAACGCUGGCGGCGUGCUUAACACAUGCAAGUCGAACGGUAAGGCCCUUCGGGGUACACGAGUGGCGAACGGGUGAGUAACACGUGGGUGAUCUGCCCUGCACUUCGGGAUAAGCCUGGGAAACUGGGUCUAAUACCGGAUAGGACCACGGCCUGCAUGGGUGGUGGGGGAAAGCUUCUGCGGUGUGGGAUGGGGCCGCGGCCUAGAAGCUUGUUGGUGGGGUGAUGGCCUACCAAGGCGACGACGGGUAGCCGGCCUGAGAGGGUGACCGGCCACACUGGGACUGAGAUACGGCCCAGACUCCUACGGGAGGCAGCAGUAGGGAAUAUUGCACAAUGGGCGCAAGCCUGAUGCAGCGACGCCGCGUGAGGGAUGACGGCCUUCGGGUUGUAAACCUCUUUCAGCACCGACGAAGCGCAAGUGACGGUAGGUGCAGAAGAAGGACCGGCCAACUACGUGCCAGCCGCCGCCGUAA